RNAcentral lists this ribosomal RNA (465 nucleotides) under uncultured Klebsiella sp. RNAcentral's name for it is "bacterial SSU rRNA". It matches the Rfam family "Bacterial small subunit ribosomal RNA", at positions 338 to 795 of the family's 1533-position model. The record is from RNAcentral. Lineage: Bacteria; Pseudomonadati; Pseudomonadota; Gammaproteobacteria; Enterobacterales; Enterobacteriaceae.
CCUACGGGUGGCAGCAGUGGGGAAUAUUGCACAAUGGGCGCAAGCCUGAUGCAGCCAUGCCGCGUGUGUGAAGAAGGCCUUCGGGUUGUAAAGCACUUUCAGCGGGGAGGAAGGCGGUGAGGUUAAUAACCUCAUCGAUUGACGUCACCCGCAGAAGAAGCACCGGCUAACUCCGUGCCAGCAGCCGCGGUAAUACGGAGGGUGCAAGCGUUAAUCGGAAUUACUGGGCGUAAAGCGCACGCAGGCGGUCUGUCAAGUCGGAUGUGAAAUCCCCGGGCUCAACCUGGGAACUGCAUUCGAAACUGGCAGGCUAGAGUCUUGUAGAGGGGGGUAGAAUUCCAGGUGUAGCGGUGAAAUGCGUAGAGAUCUGGAGGAAUACCGGUGGCGAAGGCGGCCCCCUGGACAAAGACUGACGCUCAGGUGCGAAAGCGUGGGGAGCAAACAGGAUUAGAUACCCGAGUAGUC